GAUGAACGCUGACAGAAUGCUUAACGCAUGCAAGUCUUUGGCGAAGCUGUGCUUGCACAGCCUAGCCAAGGCGGACGGGUGAGUAACACGUAAGGAACUUGCCCUGCAGUCAGGGAUAACAGACGGAAACGACUGAUAAGACCUGGUAAAGUCAGACGGACUCAUGUCCAGCCUGAUGAAAAGAGAUGCUGCAGGAGAGCCUUGCGUCCUAUUAGCUUGUUGGUGGGGUAACGGCCCGCCAAGGCGAUGAUAGGUAGCCGGCCUGAGAGGGUGGACGGCCACAAGGGGACUGAGAUACGGCCCUUACUCCUACGGGAGGCAGCAGUGGGGAAUAUUGGACAAUGGGGGCAACCCUGAUCCAGCAAUUCUGUGUGCACGAUGAAGGUUUUCGGAUUGUAAAGUGCUUUCAGCAGGGAAGAAAAAAAUGACGGUACCUGCAGAAGAAGCGACGGCUAAAUACGU
Molecule: ribosomal RNA, 462 nt
Filed under: uncultured bacterium
Lineage: Bacteria
Description: partial 16S ribosomal RNA
Rfam family: Bacterial small subunit ribosomal RNA
Source: RNAcentral